This 248-nucleotide long non-coding RNA is filed under the name Gallus gallus (chicken). RNAcentral's name for it is "long non-coding RNA NONGGAT009303". Lineage: Eukaryota; Metazoa; Chordata; Aves; Galliformes; Phasianidae. The record is from RNAcentral.
UGCCAUCGCCACCUGCCUCCAAGCCCAGAAGUGGAUGUAUGGGGGCCUGGACACCAAUGUGAUGCUGCAGUAUCUGGCCUGGGUCACCUACCCCACUGUGCUCAUCACCUUCUCAGCUGGCUUCACCCAGAUCCUAGCCCCACAGGCUGUGGGUAAGGUGCAUGUGCCCUAACGGGGUCCCCCCUCCCUGGGGCUGUGGGUUGUGAACAAUCUGAGUGGCCUAAGCUAUGGGGCUGGUGUAUUCAAAG